AAGAUUUAAUUCUUCCUCUUUCAAAACCCUAGCCCCCUCUUCUAGAUUUCUCAAAUAUUCUUAAUUGGGUGUAACUUUUUCUUCAUUUAUGAUGAUAUCGAGUUUUCUCCCGACAUUUCAUUGUUUAUGGAAUGUCUCAAGGUUCUAAUUUUUCAUAUAGAUAUAAGAGCAUAUGCUAUUGUGGAAUUGCAGCAGUACUCAAUUUCAUAUCGUGGAUUCCUUCAAAUUCAGGAAGAAGUCUUUUCAGGCUGCUAAGCCUGAUGUAGAAAAAAAAGUUUCUUGUGAAAUCUGUGGAUUUCUUUUGAAUUUUUUUCACGAAUGAUGAAUUUAGUUUUAUCUUUCGUUACGACACUAUUAAAGAUGGAAUAAGAUGAAUAGUUAGCCCCCA
Molecule: long non-coding RNA, 388 nt
Filed under: Solanum tuberosum (potato)
Lineage: Eukaryota; Viridiplantae; Streptophyta; Magnoliopsida; Solanales; Solanaceae
Description: long non-coding RNA (STUB_LNC003919)
Source: RNAcentral